GCGCAGCAGUCGCGAAAACUUCACACUGUGCGAAAGCACGAUGAGGGAAUCCCAAGUGCUUGCACGUAAGUGUAAGCUGUUUCUCUGUCUAAAACGCAGAGAGAGUAAGGGCUGGGUAAGACGGGUGCCAGCCGCCGCGGUAAUACCUGCAGCUCAAGUGGUGACCGUUAUUAUUGGGCCUAAAACGUCCGUAGCCGGUUUAAUAAAUGCCUGGGUAAAUUGUGUAGCUUAACUAUACGAAUUCCGGGUAGACUGUUAAACUUGAGACCGGGAGAAGUUAGAGGUACUCCUGGGGUAGAGGUGAAAUUCUGUAAUCCUAGGGGACCACCAGUGGCGAAGGCGUCUAACUAGAACGGGUCUGACGGUGAGGGACGAAGCCCUGGGGCGCAAACGGGAUUAGAUACCGU
This 407-nucleotide ribosomal RNA is filed under the name uncultured microorganism. RNAcentral's name for it is "bacterial SSU rRNA". It matches the Rfam family "Archaeal small subunit ribosomal RNA", at positions 330 to 739 of the family's 1478-position model. The record is from RNAcentral.